This 83-nucleotide transfer RNA is filed under the name human gut metagenome. It matches the Rfam family "tRNA". From Rfam's summary of the family: Transfer RNA (tRNA) molecules are approximately 80 nucleotides in length. Their secondary structure includes four short double-helical elements and three loops (D, anti-codon, and T loops). RNAcentral also lists the same sequence under 2 other names. The record is from RNAcentral.
GAGAUAUGGCAGAGCGGUCGAUCGCGGCGGUCUUGAAAACCGUUAUACAGAAAUGUAUCGGGGGUUCGAAUCCCUCUGUCUCC